AGAGUUUGAUCCUGGCUCAGGACAAACGCUGGCGGCGUGCCUAAGACAUGCAAGUCGAACGGGGGCCUUCGGGCUCGAGUGGCGGACGGGUGAGGAACGCGUGACUGACCUACCCUUGAGUGGGGGAUAACAGCCAGAAAUGGGUGCUAAGACCGCAUACGACGGUAUCGCGAGGUAUCGGGAAAGCCUGAGAGGGUGCUCGAGGAGGGGGUCGCGUCGGAUUAGCUAGUUGGUGGGGUAACGGCCUACCAAGGCGAUGAUCCGUAGCUGGUCUGAGAGGACGGCCAGCCACACUGGGACUGAGACACGGCCCAGACUCCUACGGGAGGCAGCAGUUAGGGAAUUUUGACAAUGGGCGCAAGCCUGAUCGAGUGACGCCGCGUGCGGGACGAAGCCUUUCGGGGUGUAAA
Molecule: ribosomal RNA, 410 nt
Filed under: uncultured bacterium
Lineage: Bacteria
Description: bacterial SSU rRNA
Rfam family: Bacterial small subunit ribosomal RNA
Source: RNAcentral